GGCGAGCGCGGGGGGCGGCGGAGCGCGGGGGCGCCCGGCCGGCGAGCGGCGCGGAUACUCAGAGAGCCGCCGCUGGGAUCCGCUGGGGCCGGCGCCCGAGCCUUGGACUGCGACCUUGCCGCCACCUCUUCCUCCCCUCCUCCCCUCCCAGUGACACCGCCGGACCGAGCGCCCAGCCGCGGGCCUGGGAGGCGCUCCCCGGGGCCGCAAGCCCGCGCGUGCGGCCGCCCCAGCGGGGAUCGCUGCACCGAGGAGUGAGGAGGCAAGGCGGGGAGAGGAGGAGGUGCAGAUGUUCCUUUCUCUAAGGACUUUGGGGUGUGGAGCUUAUGCCGUUUCAGCUGUGUUCCGGGAAGAAGCUCUAAGUGACAACCGUCCUGGUCCGGACCCAACUGCUCUGAACCGGCACAGAGCAGCACAAACCAGCAUAAACUGAAACCACAAGAGUGACAUCUACAUAAACAGGCAGAGAGUUGUGCUAAAGUAAUCUGCGCUCCUUAACAUGGAAAUUCCCCUGAUCUGGGGAGGGCAAAGCAGCCAUUCUUAGAUCAUGCAAUGUAUAUAUAAAAGCAUGAUUUCAAACCACACAUGUGCAAGCUUAUGCCCACCUCUGCACAUGAUGAUGAAAUUUCCCGUUGAACAUUCAUUCCCUACCCCAAAUAAAGGUACCCACGUCCCCGUGCUCAGGGAGCCAGAGCUUUGUGAAAUUAUUCCCUACGGUCUCCAUUGUCUUUGCUGCAUGCUACGAAUAAAAUUUCUGCUUUGUGACAGCUA
Equus caballus (horse) is the source of this 771-nucleotide long non-coding RNA. RefSeq lists it as uncharacterized. The record is from RefSeq and is a predicted model, not a curated record. NCBI's taxonomy places the organism in Eukaryota, Metazoa, Chordata, Mammalia, Perissodactyla, Equidae.